RNAcentral lists this ribosomal RNA (340 nucleotides) under Smeringopus sp. DNA100437897. RNAcentral's name for it is "partial 12S ribosomal RNA". Lineage: Eukaryota; Metazoa; Arthropoda; Arachnida; Araneae; Pholcidae. The record is from RNAcentral.
AUUAGAUUCCAUUAAAGGUAGUAGCUAUAUAGCCAAACCCAUAUAAACUGGCGGUCUCAUAAUAUUAGAGGAACUCGCUUUAUAAUCGUAAACACCCGUUAAAUUAAACCAUUACUUUUUUUAAAAUUCCAAAGCCUAUAUACCGCCGUUUCAGAAUAAAUCAAUUAAAAAUACUCAAAAUAGAACCCUCUAAAAAAUCAGGUCAAGGUGUAGCCUACGUAAUGAGUAAAAGUAAGUUACAUUAAAAACAAUUUAAGAAUAAAGUAUAAAUCAGCAAUUGAAAAAGAAUCUAAUUUUAUAAGCUAGUUAAAAUCUAACUUAGAAUUUUACAUUGAGACGC